RNAcentral lists this ribosomal RNA (251 nucleotides) under uncultured bacterium. RNAcentral describes it as "partial 16S ribosomal RNA". It matches the Rfam family "Bacterial small subunit ribosomal RNA", at positions 101 to 339 of the family's 1533-position model. The record is from RNAcentral.
AACGGGUGAGUAACGCGUGGGUGAUCUUCCUUCGAGUGGGGAACAACAUCGGGAAACUGAUGCUAAUUCCGCAUAAUAUCUCAAGACCAAGAGUUUUGAGAUCAAAGCCGGGGACCGUAAGGCCUGGCGCUUGAAGACGAGCCCGCGUCCGAUUAGCUAGUUGGCGGGAUAAUAGCCCACCAAGGCAACGAUGGUUAGCCGGCCUGAGAGGGUGAUCGGCCACACUGGAACUGAGACACGGUCCAGACUCC